This 27-nucleotide small RNA is filed under the name Bombyx mori (domestic silkworm). RNAcentral's name for it is "ovarian small RNA-35236". Lineage: Eukaryota; Metazoa; Arthropoda; Insecta; Lepidoptera; Bombycidae. The record is from RNAcentral.
UGGUUGUUUAACGACGGAUGUGGCAAG